Molecule: long non-coding RNA, 205 nt
Filed under: Elaeis guineensis (African oil palm)
Lineage: Eukaryota; Viridiplantae; Streptophyta; Magnoliopsida; Arecales; Arecaceae
Description: long non-coding RNA (EGUI_LNC045593)
Source: RNAcentral
CAUUUUUCAUUUGAUUUUCAUCCAAACUUAAUUUUUCUUGGUUCAAAAGCUUCCCAAGUGUAUCCAAAAGACUUUAAAGCUUAUCACAAGGGUUAGCUUUCUACAAAAAUAUUCUUAACUAAGCUUAAAAGAUAUUAGUCCCAUUUUAUACUUUAAUGUUAUGUAAUCAUCAAAAUUAUUUUUUGAAUCAACAAUCUUCUCUUUA